Molecule: long non-coding RNA, 453 nt
Organism: Drosophila miranda
Lineage: Eukaryota; Metazoa; Arthropoda; Insecta; Diptera; Drosophilidae
Exons: 3
Source: RefSeq, a predicted model, not a curated record
AGCUAUCGACACCUGGAGAAACCCAACAAAAGUACUCCUUUGGCACAUAUGUAAAUAUUGGGGAAAAACACUCGAAAAUUAUUUGGUUUUAUGUUUCUUCCACCACUAGCUCCUGUGCGGCGAUAAAGCUCUCUUUUUUCGUUGGUUUUUCGGUGGAUUUCUAAUGUUGGGAAAUCCUAUAAGUUUUCAUUUAUCGGCAUUCAUCGUCAGGGAAGCGUCUUGUGAGAAUAGGAACAAGCGGGUUCAUUGCGGAGACCAUCGCCCACAAAGGUCUCCCAAAUGCAGCGUCUCCGCAGCGUCCAUGUGAAUAUUGUCACGCCCGCAGAGGGCUGACACCUGACACCUGAAUUGAGGGCUAAUCCAUCAAGGAUCCAAGGGAAAAUCCUUUCGAUUGCCAGCCCAAAGUGUGGAACAAUGUCAUUUGCUGCGGUUUUGCUUCUGACAGACAGACAC